CAGCAGCCGCCGCGGGAAUACAGAGGGUGCGAGCGUUAAUCGGAUUUACUGGGCGUAAAGCGUGCGUAGGCGGCUUUUUAAGUCGGAUGUGAAAUCCCUGAGCUUAACUUAGGAAUUGCAUUCGAUACUGGGAAGCUAGAGUAUGGGAGAGGAUGGUAGAAUUCCAGGUGUAGCGGUGAAAUGCGUAGAGAUCUGGAGGAAUACCGAUGGCGAAGGCAGCCAUCUGGCCUAAUACUGACGCUGAGGUACGAAAGCAUGGGGAGCAAACAGGAUUAGAUACCCGAGUAGUCCCUGUCUCUUAUAA
RNAcentral lists this ribosomal RNA (304 nucleotides) under uncultured bacterium. RNAcentral describes it as "partial 16S ribosomal RNA". It matches the Rfam family "Bacterial small subunit ribosomal RNA", at positions 506 to 809 of the family's 1533-position model. The record is from RNAcentral.